CUCCUUUAGGUUUUCUUUACUUUGGGAAGUUCUCUCCAAAGUUACUCAGCUCUUUCCCAAGUUUCUGAUUACUUUUUUUUUUUUUUUUUUAACACACCUGCUAGGUCUGAGGGUUCUAGUACCUCCACAGGAAAAGCUGCCCAGCAAUUUAGUCUCUGUCUCAUACAUAGGAAGAAAACCCCUUUUGGGGAGCAGUCCAAACCACAGCUCAGCUGAAGUAAGUGAUUUUAGAUUGCCCCUAUAAUAAAAACUCUUAAGCUCCUAUCAGAGACUGAUGCGGCUGCUGGUGUGCAUUCACGAAGUCCUAGGGAAAUUCCUCCUCAUCAAAAGUCUGCAUUGACUUUUAUUUACCAAAUAACAUUAGAUGCAACAUCGGGGUCAGAACGUAGUUCCAAGUGGCUUCAGGAUGACAGAGUACCUGGUGAUCACUAGGAUUUGCUUAAUAUUGCAAAGGCAAGGGGAUUGGAAGAUGAAGAUCUGGUUAUGUGGUCAGGCUUCCUCACAAAGCAAGAUCUCCUUCUCUUACACUGGUAUACUGUAAAUUGCUGGGGAAUUGCUGGGAAGGAUGACAGCGUUUUGUCACAGUUGUGAUUAAAAGACUGAAUCCUUAGGGCCCCUUUAAAUUGCCUCUCCUGUUGUCCUAAUUCAAGUAGAAUUUCAUUGUUUUCAAUGCGUGGGAGGAUUCAGGUGGAAAUGCUAGCAAGUUUCUGUUCUGUCCCAAAGAGGUAUAAAUGUGCUUCUAAAAAUGCUGUUAAAACGCAUUACGAAGGAAAGCCUUUAAUUUUAUACAAAUGGCUUGAGCAGGAAUAUGUCAUAAUUGCAAGUGAGUCGCAUGCAGUCUUUCUAGGACUUUUGCGUGUCCUGUUGGAGGUAAAUAUGGUUGUGGUUAAUGCUAGUGUUUUCUUGAGGCAUGUGACAGUUCCCUCUUUCCUCUGCCACCUUCUCUGCUGUCAGUGGGGCUUCAAACAAUCCAAGUUCCCACAUGAGAAAGAGGAAAAAAUAGAGCUGGGCUCUGGCUGCACAGCUCCAGAGUGCUGUGGGAACAAAGAGGCAGGCCUGCUGGCAGGGAGGGUGGGAAGGCAGCCAGCACAGGCAGGAGAAGGGCAAGAAGGUGGGGGAAGGGGCACGGGCGAUGAGGGGAAGGAGAGCAAAGAGAGGGGAAGCCUGGUAGGAGCAACUCCUUUGUUCAGAGGGGAGAACAAAGGGGAUGGGGAGAAGAUGGAAGCAGCAUACCUUUCAGCUUAGAAAAAAGUUGGUACUCAUAUCCACUCCCAGUCAGCAGCCACGAAGGGAUAACAUAGAUGCACAGAGAGAACUGAUUAACAUAUGCAAAGAAAUAAGCUUCUUUUUCCCUGGUUGUGUCAAAUAAAAUUGACUCUUUUUUUUCCCCUUCUUUUGCC
This 1400-nucleotide long non-coding RNA is filed under the name Anser brachyrhynchus (Pink-footed goose). Its description in RNAcentral is "lncRNA (ENSABRG00000009054.1)". Lineage: Eukaryota; Metazoa; Chordata; Aves; Anseriformes; Anatidae. The record is from RNAcentral.